RNAcentral lists this ribosomal RNA (209 nucleotides) under uncultured euryarchaeote. RNAcentral describes it as "partial 16S ribosomal RNA". It matches the Rfam family "Archaeal small subunit ribosomal RNA", at positions 518 to 726 of the family's 1478-position model. The record is from RNAcentral. Lineage: Archaea; Methanobacteriati; Methanobacteriota.
UUCGUAGCUGGUUUGUUAAGUCUCUGGGGAAAUCUUCCGGCUUAACCGGAAGGCAUCUCAGGGAUACUGGCAGACUAGGGACCGGAAGAGGUGAGGGGUACUCCAGGGGUAGGAGUGAAAUCCUGUAAUCCUUGGGGGACCACCUGUGGCGAAGGCGCCUCACCAGGACGGCUCCGACAGUGAGGGACGAAAGCUGGGGGAGCAAACCG